CACUUCAGGAUCCAUGGUGUCGAUUCACACGUGCAGAAUCCUACAAGCAUAAUUCAUGCAUAACAGGUUUCCUUGAAGGCUAUUUCAUUCUGGCAUUUUUGUGCAUGGUUCUGUUCCUCCGUAUUUCCUGAAGAUGAAAGGGAGGCGGGCCCUUUGAUAUGUUAAGCGGUCGCAUGGAGAUGGACGGAGUGAGAUUCCCCCCGGAGCAGGGAUUUGUCUGGGGUGACGAGGUUUGGGAUGCUGAGGCAGCCGGUGCGCUCUUUCAGCUCUGAAGCCAGCCACAGACUGCACUGCAACAGCCCCGCAAGUUUGAUCAGGCACGACACAACAGGCAAACUUUUUUAGAAGUUGCUUCUUCCUUUUGGCACAUAUUUGUUGACAACUUGUGUACAAUACAGAAGAUGGCAGUCGUCGAAAUGACCUUCAAAUAUCAUGCAGAAAAGCAUGUUUUUCAUCUGUGACUCAAAAGAAAACAAAACAAAAACAAAUCAGGACCGAAUCUCACCUAGCAUCCGAUUUUUCCUCAAUACCAAGUCAAAGUGGGAUUUUAUUUUAGUUAGUGACACUGCAAUGUUCUAAUGAUUCUUUGUGUGACCCCAUAGACCGCAGAAUAAGAGCUCCUGCACUGGAUUAUGGGGUCACAGUCCUGGCUUUGGCAGGCAGUCUGUACCCAGCUGAAGGAUCAUUUUAAUUGGUUCACAAGUAUGUAAAUAUACUCCACGUGAUCACUUACUGCAAAGCCUAUUUAAGCUGCUGCAUUCACAGAUUUCCCAACUAGGAGAGUGCAAGUAAAAACUAGGCCAUCGGUCUUCUUGGAGUGAAUAACGAUUCUGUAUUUUAUACAUACUGAUAUCAUUCUGGCAACACAAGGCAAUGAAGAAGUAUUACCAGUCAGAAAAUAAUUAAUUAAAUAACCGAAAUAAACAACAAAAUAGAGUGUAAACUGGAGGGAGGGUGAAAGUAAGGGAAAAAAAACCUGUUCACAGCCCACAAGCGGAGGUGAAAAUGCUGUGGUUUAAAGCGAACGUCAGGUAGCAUUCAGAGGAAUCUGAGAUUGUAACCUAGAUAUCAGCAACAGAGAGCCCUGACAUUCCGGAGGAAGGCUGUCCAACUCUGGCUCCAAAAAUACAUAAUGCAUGAUAUAUGGAAAGUUGUUUUUUGUAAUUGUCUUAUAUCUGAAUUUUAUAGACUGCUUCCUGCAUACAAAAUACAUUUUCUGGCACUCUAUGUAAAAAAUGAAGAUUCCCUAGUUAGGCCUAUUUAGGCUUGGAUAAGCACUGACUUUAGUGUAAUCUUAUCACCAUGGGACUGGGUGUAAUUGCUGAGAUACUUCAAGUCUGUGCGAUACAAUCAUUUCGAAGGCACAGCCGAUUGAUAUCCAGAGGCUGAUGGGGAGACAGGUGCCCACGACCGUAAUGGAACAGUAACUGUGGCCAAAAGCGCGGAUGACAGCAAUGGCCGUGAGUCAUCUCUGUUGUGAGUAACGAAGAAACUGAGGAUCACUGCAUACUGGGCUGUGGCUUAAGGAAAAACACAUCUGGAGUGUCUUUUUUGGGGGGUUGUUCAAUCACCCCACUGCGGUGCUGGUGAGGUUCCGGACUCCUAGAAUAAUGAGUGAGAAUUAAUGCUGCCCCAUAAGUCAACGCCUUGGGUGAUCAGCUGCGUUCUGUCUUCGUCUGAUUAGGCAGUAUUCCAUCGCCAAAAGUUAUCUCCCAACACUGAGCAAAAGCCACCAAUAAGUGCCUUGUAACCUGCUGCUGUUAAUUAUUAUUAUUAAUAAUGAUAAUAAUAAUAAUAACAACAAUAAUGAUAAUAAUCGCAUUAUCCAUGUCCUAUUAGCCUAAAAGGCUACAUUCUUUUUUUUCUGUCCUACGCUCUCAGCAAUAAGUGUUAGGAAUGUUUCCUUCCUUACGUAAAAUACACUUACAAUAUCCAGCUAUUGCUACAUUCAAACAAUACUAUAGAUACAUCAUUUGAGAAUGAAAACAAACUACAUCAUCCAUGACCUUGAUAAACCAGUAUUAUCACAUGCUGGACCUGUAGCCAGAAAUGUUGUUUGUUGGGGGUGGGGUUUGACCACCAUACCAAUACAGCUGUAGCAGCAGAUUUUGAGCCGCAGACCCAUUAGUGUGCCUGCCACCCCCCAAACACACACACACACACACAUCCAGGCAAGGCCCAUCAGGUCCACCAUCACUCACAGUCCGCGUUCAAAAUCGUCAUUGAACUACAUGUCCAUGUGCCUGAUUGAUAAUGGAAACAAUUUAUAUAUCCUUAUUUUACCACGUGCAUGGCUGUCAGAUAUAAAGCCUGGAUUUCUGUAAUCGGCGCAAAGUUCACGUGAGGCCAAGUUAUUAAAGUGUGAAUCUCAUUAUUCAAUGACAUGCUGCAGACAUUAAUAAAAACGCUAAACGGAAAAGACGAUAAGUCACACGAGUGUACUGUGAGGAUUCUUGCGGUUGACCUGUUGACGUACGAAUAUGUAAUUAACAAAAAUAACGAUAUGAAAGCACAAAUUGCUUUUUCGUAUUUCUGCAGCUACGUAACUGAGCAAUAUGGAUGAUUCACACGCUCAGCCACACUGGCCUCUCUUCCCGGCUACGAAAUGAAACGUACUAAAAAGAAGGGGAAUGCGCAGUUCAAAUUACCAUAAUAAUUAGGUGGCAAAUACUAAAUGGCUCAGAUGUAGUUUUUCAUAGCUAGAAAUGGAUGUUUGCCACUUAGAUUAACCCGAGCUUGUAUCUCAACAGUACGCAGGUCAAGGUCUAUGACAAAAAUACAAAGUGGUCGAAAUAUUGAACACUUCUGUCACAUGUGGUUAGUUGGGCCUGGACCUUUAUAGGUUUUUUCCCCCACCUCUGCUGUACCUUGGUUAUCUUUUUCCAUUUAUACUUACGUUUAAGCAAGCUAUAACUUAAUCACUUUUGAUGUUUUUAAGUCUUUGUUAAGCGCUUUGGGGGCACUGUUGGGAAGGGUGCUACAGAAAACUUAAUUAAAAAGUGGGUCAGGU
Paramormyrops kingsleyae is the source of this 3010-nucleotide long non-coding RNA. RefSeq lists it as uncharacterized. Lineage: Eukaryota; Metazoa; Chordata; Actinopteri; Osteoglossiformes; Mormyridae. The record is from RefSeq and is a predicted model, not a curated record.